This is a long non-coding RNA of Bufo gargarizans (Asiatic toad), 2233 nucleotides long. RefSeq lists it as uncharacterized. The transcript has 2 exons. The record is from RefSeq and is a predicted model, not a curated record. Lineage: Eukaryota; Metazoa; Chordata; Amphibia; Anura; Bufonidae.
UAUAGCAAUAGAUUCUGAUCCGCCGUGCAAGGCGUGACAAGUGCAUAAUUGUAAUAGUAGCCAACAUAUCAUAUCACAUACAACGGGUGACAAAAGUCUGGUAUCUCGGUGUUUAAGCAUUCACAUCACACCACAGUAAAUGAGUUGGAGUAGGGUGAACCCGGCAGCCGUUAAUGUAUACUGUGCCUACUAUACACCCGGGAAUAGAGCAAUACAUGAUUAUAGAGCCAGGUAUACAAACAGGGAAGUCAGGGUUAGGUAAUAGACAUCUAUAUCUGACAAAAUGGCUAGAGAUUCCCUAUGGACAAUUCGGGUGUCUAAAUUUUUGCCAUAAAUGCCACUGGCGUUGGAACUUAAGAUGAUUCCUAGCCUCCCAUGAAGAGAGUUCCUCAAAACGGAAGAUUUGGUCAAUCUUUAGUUUCCAUUGCUCUAUGGAGGGAAGGGCGGUGGAGCCGAAACUUAGGAAUCAGUAAACGAGCUGCAAUUAGAAGCUGUUUAAAAAGGAAAGGCAUCGGCUGUACUUCCUUGUCUUCCUGGAAAGUGAGUAGGGCUUUACACGCAGACAUUUGCACCUCAGUCUGGCAGAUCUGGUUGCUAAUCUGGAAGAUUUCUUUCCACCAUAUUCUAAUGUUUGGGCAAUCCCACCAAAUGUGGAAGAAAGAUCCCCUACUGCCAAGGCCCCUCCAACAUCUAUCUGAAGCUGUUGCUGAAUAUAGCGCCGCUAUGUCGGGGGUUUUCUACCAUCUUGCUAGGAUCUUAUAUCCAUUCUCCUGUAUGCGGACACAUCUAGAGGAGGUAUGUGGGGAAGAUAAUAGGUUUGGCAAAUUUGUGAUCGGGAACUCUUGUCCUAGAUCUUUUUCCCAAUGUCGUAUGAAGGCAGGUUUAGUUGGUAUAGUAGGGGUGUUUAGUCUUUGAAAAUUUGUGAAAUUAGUUUUCUCGGGGGGGGGGGGGGGGGAGGGAUUGGAAAUGAGUGCUUCAGACCAUAGCAGAGGGCGGUAAAGGUCCCCUAACGAUAUGUGCUGAGAGAUGAAGGUAUGUAAGUAUGAUGGGGGGGAUAGGUGAGGAUAGGUGGCAUUCAGAAUUUUUUGUAACUCCUUAAGCUGAAGUACUGAUCCAUUAGGGUCAAAGAAGGAGAGGAUUGGAGUAGAUGACUCCCUCAAUUCUCGUGGAGUACUUUCAAUUACUGCAGGUAAGGCAAUUCCCAAAAUAUCCUUUAUAGAGAGGAGGGGGGAUGGGAAGGGUAUCGCGCAGUGAGAUGAUUGAAGCCAUCUCCACGCUUUCAGAGUGGCCUGAAUAAUUGGAUAUGGCGAGGGAGGUAGGUUGCAUGUGUUGUUAUUGCCUAGUAAGAGAGAUCUGAAAGGUGUAUUUAUUAGCUCCUGUUCUAUUGUUACCCAUGGUUUGGUACUACUAGGUCUGAGCCACUCUAUUAUUCUGGAUAAAAGAAUCGCCCUUCCAUAUGUCUCUGGAUCGGGUAGGGCGAUACCUCCAUAAUACUUGGGACGUGAUAGGAGCUCGAAAGAUAAUCUAGGUUUCUUUCCUUUCCAGACAAAUGUACGAAACAAUUUCCUCAAAGAGUCAUAGUAGGUUUUGGGAACUGGGAUGGGUGAUCCUUGCUGUAAAUAUGUUUGGGGGGGGAGUAUCACGGACAUAAGUAGAUUCUUGCGGCCGAACCAAGAUAUGGUCGGAUUUUCCAGUGUAUCAAUGCUAGAGGAAAUGUCCUUUAAUAGUGGAGCGUAGUUGAGUGAAAAUAGUGCUGAAGGGUUGGAGCUCAUUUUGACCCCUAAGUAUGUUAAGUGGGGGAAGACCAAUUAAACGGGGAGUUUCUUUUUAGACUUCUUUGUGUUGAUUGGGGGAUCCCAAAACAAAUCACCAGUGAUUUUUGCUUGUUAAUUUUAAAGUUGGAGAUGGAACUAUAGGUAUCAAGGUGUUUCUGAAUCGCUAAGAGUGAGUUCUUAGGAUUUGAGGUCAUUAUCAUAAUAUCGUCCGCAAACCUUAUGUUCCGUACCUCCCAGCUUUACUCCUUGGAUUGCAGCGUCGGCUCUUAAUUUGAGGAGGAGGGGUUCUAAAGCGAGGACGAAAAGCAAGGGGGAAAGAGGGCACCCCUGCCUGGUACCAUUUUGGAUAUCAAAGGGGUCUGAUAAGUCCCCGUUGAUCAAAACGGAGGCCGAAGCCUGAGCAUACAUUGCGAACGUGGCUUGUACAAAGGGAUCAGGCAGGCCAAAUCGGUAAAGAA